GGGGUCAUAGCUCAAUCGGCUGAGCAGUCGCCUGCAAAGCGAAAGGUUCCCGGUUCAAAUCCGGGCGGUCCCU
RNAcentral lists this transfer RNA (73 nucleotides) under Pithovirus LCPAC304. Its description in RNAcentral is "tRNA-Cys". It matches the Rfam family "tRNA". Rfam says of the family: Transfer RNA (tRNA) molecules are approximately 80 nucleotides in length. Their secondary structure includes four short double-helical elements and three loops (D, anti-codon, and T loops). Further hydrogen bonds mediate the characteristic L-shaped molecular structure. tRNAs have two regions of fundamental functional importance: the anti-codon, which is responsible for specific mRNA codon recognition, and the 3' end, to which the tRNAs corresponding amino acid is attached (by aminoacyl-tRNA synthetases). tRNAs cope with the degeneracy of the genetic code in two manners: having more than one tRNA (with a specific anti-codon) for a particular amino acid; and 'wobble' base-pairing, i.e. permitting non-standard base-pairing at the 3rd anti-codon position. Lineage: Varidnaviria; Bamfordvirae; Nucleocytoviricota; Megaviricetes; Pimascovirales; Pithoviridae. The record is from RNAcentral.